This 440-nucleotide ribosomal RNA is filed under the name uncultured bacterium. RNAcentral describes it as "bacterial SSU rRNA". It matches the Rfam family "Bacterial small subunit ribosomal RNA", at positions 28 to 451 of the family's 1533-position model. The record is from RNAcentral.
GAUGAACGCUGGCGGCGUGCUUAACACAUGCAAGUCGAACGGGAAAUACUUUAUUGAAACUUCGGUGGAUUUAAUUUAUUUCUAGUGGCGGACGGGUGAGUAACGCGUGGGUAACCUGCCUUAUACUGGGGGAUAACAGCCAGAAAUGGCUGCUAAUACCGCAUAAGCGCACAGAACCGCAUGGUUCGGUGUGAAAAACUCCGGUGGUAUAAGAUGGACCCGCGUUGGAUUAGCUAGUUGGCAGGGCAGCGGCCUACCAAGGCGACGAUCCAUAGCCGGCCUGAGAGGGUGAACGGCCACAUUGGGACUGAGACACGGCCCAGACUCCUACGGGAGGCAGCAGUGGGGAAUAUUGCACAAUGGGGGAAACCCUGAUGCAGCGACGCCGCGUGAAGGAAGAAGUAUCUCGGUAUGUAAACUUCUAUCAGCAGGGAAGAUAA